Molecule: long non-coding RNA, 501 nt
Organism: Phalaenopsis equestris
Lineage: Eukaryota; Viridiplantae; Streptophyta; Magnoliopsida; Asparagales; Orchidaceae
Exons: 5
Source: RefSeq, a predicted model, not a curated record
UGUCAGAGCGUCAUCAUGCAUCACCGUCGACUCAGCUGCAGGCUCAACCCAUUGUCUCUAAUGCUUCAGAAAAGUCCAGCUCUGAGGUGUUGGAUGAAGUUUCUACCUUUGAAGACGAAGGUGAUUCAAAAUCUGUUUAUGUGGGAAACAUUCCACCAAAUAUUUCAUCAUCUGACCUUGAACAAGAGUUCAGAAAGUUUGGUAGAAUAACGCUUGAUGGUGUUACUAUCAGGAGCCGUAAGGAUGGUGGAUUUUACUAUGCAUUUGUAGAAUUCGAAGACGCUGUUGGUGUUCAAAAUGCGCUGAAGGCUUCUCCAGUGCAGUUGAAUGGAAGACUGGUCCACGUAGAGGGCAGGAGGCCAAACAGUGGUGCGUCACGAGGAGGAAGGAGGGGCAAAGGAGGGGGAGGCUACAACUUGGAGGCCUCGAGAGGCCGUUUUGGCGGCAGGUCUUUUCGACAAUGACGGUCAUAUCCGGCGAGCUUCAUGUCAUGAAAAGGGA